Molecule: long non-coding RNA, 429 nt
Filed under: Homo sapiens (human)
Lineage: Eukaryota; Metazoa; Chordata; Mammalia; Primates; Hominidae
Description: uncharacterized LOC105372424, transcript variant 1 (LOC105372424)
Source: RNAcentral
GUCAACUUGCUGAGUCGUCCAGGCCUUCAUCUUUCUUCUGUGCUGGAUGCUUCCCUGCUCUUGAACAUCAAGACUUCAGGUUUUGGGACUCAGACUGAGCCACUGCUGGCUUCCUUGCUCCUCAGCUUGCAGAUGCCUAUUGUGGGACUUCACCUUACAGUCAUACCCGAUGUGAAGCCUGACUGAGCAGAGUGGAGACCAGCAGCUGCACGUCAAGUGGCCUUCCCAGGACUUGACUCCAUAUGCAUGUUCUCGUCCAUGGGCUCAUACCCAGUCCAAAGGACUUUACCCCAGCUCCAUCUUUGCCCAGACACACUUGAGGCUGCAGGGUUUUGCUUCCCAAGGCCCUCACCAGAAUCAGAUGCUGGCACCAUGCUUCCUGUACAGCUUAUAAAACCGUGAGCCAAUUAAAUCUCUUUUCCUUAUAAA